CGCACAUUGCGCCCGCCAGUAUUCUGGCGGGCAUGCCUGUUCGAGCGUCAUUUCAACCCCUCAGGCCCUCGGGCCUGGCGUCGGGCGUCUCCCCUCACCGGGAGCGCCCUAGAGACAGUGGCGGACCCGCCGCGGCUCCGAGCGCAGUAGUAACAUUCUCGCUAAGGAGGUCCGCGGAGGGAAAUCCCGGCCGUAAAACCAGCUCAAAGCUCCCCUAGGGGGCGGCGGCUACUCUCAAGGUUGACCUCGGAUCAGGUAGGAAUACCCGCUGAACUUAA
RNAcentral lists this unclassified non-coding RNA (278 nucleotides) under Halosphaeriaceae sp. RNAcentral describes it as "partial contains 5.8S ribosomal RNA, internal transcribed spacer 2, and large subunit ribosomal RNA". The record is from RNAcentral. Lineage: Eukaryota; Fungi; Ascomycota; Sordariomycetes; Microascales; Halosphaeriaceae.